GCAUAUCAAUAAGCGGAGGAAAAGAAACCAACAGGGAUUGCCCCAGUAACGGCGAGUGAAGCGGCAACAGCUCAAAUUUGAAAUCUGGUCCCCCCCGCGGGGGCCCGAGUUGUAAUUUGGAGAGGAUGCUUCUGGCGAGGCGCCGUCCGAGUUCCCUGGAACGGGACGCCGCAGAGGGUGAGAGCCCCGUACGGUCGGACGCCGAGCCUCUGUGAAGCUCCUUCGACGAGUCGAGUAGUUUGGGAAUGCUGCUCAAAAUGGGAGGUAAACCCCUUCUAAAGCUAAAUACUGGCCAGAGACCGAUAGCGCACAAGUAGAGUGAUCGAAAGAUGAAAAGCACUUUGAAAAGAGAGUUAAAAAGCACGUGAAAUUGUUGAAAGGGAAGCGCUUGCGACCAGACUCGUGCCCGUCGGAUCAGCCGUCGCUCGUCGGCGGCGCACUCCGUCGGGCCCGGGCCAGCAUCAGUUUUCCCGGGGGGAGAAAGGCGGCGGGAAUGUGGCUCCUCCGGGAGUGUUAUAGCCCGCCGCGCAAUACCCCCGGGGGGACUGAGGACCGCGCGUAAUGCAAGGAUGCUGGCGUAAUGGUCGUCAGCGACCCGUCUUGAAACACGGACCAAGGAGUCGUCCUAAUAUGCGAGUGUACGGGUGUCAAACCCCUGCGCGUAAUGAAAGUGAACGGAGGUGAGAGCUUCGGCGCAUCAUCGACCGAUCCUGAUGUUCUCGGAUGGAUUUGAGUAAGAGCAUAUUGGGCCGGACCCGAAAGAAGGUGAACUAUGCCUGUGUAGGGUAAAGCCAGAGGAAACUCUGGUGGAGGCUCGCAGCGGUUCUGACGUGCAAAUCGAUCGUCAAACAUGGGCAUGGGGGCGAAAGACUAAUCGAACCUUCUAGUAGCUGGUUUCCGCG
RNAcentral lists this ribosomal RNA (902 nucleotides) under Microascus stellatus. Its description in RNAcentral is "LSU rRNA". It matches the Rfam family "Eukaryotic large subunit ribosomal RNA", at positions 38 to 962 of the family's 3401-position model. The record is from RNAcentral. Lineage: Eukaryota; Fungi; Ascomycota; Sordariomycetes; Microascales; Microascaceae.